This 1540-nucleotide long non-coding RNA is filed under the name Triticum aestivum (bread wheat). RNAcentral describes it as "long non-coding RNA (TAES_LNC004990)". Lineage: Eukaryota; Viridiplantae; Streptophyta; Magnoliopsida; Poales; Poaceae. The record is from RNAcentral.
CGUGUUCCUCUGCAUAACUGGAUGUGGGGAAGCACCUUACGUGAUUAUGUGAUGAUUCUUACAAUCCUGCCAAUUGUGUCACAUAUGGAUAAGAGGAUAUAUAUUCUAGAAUAUCACAAAAACACACAUUUUUACUCAGGUUGUCAUUGAUUGGUUGAUUCAACAACAUUUUGGUGCCUUGCAAUAUGAUUUUCACAAUCGUAUCAAUGCAAGCUCAUAGGUACCAUCUGUAUAAAUUUCAGAUUAACUAUCUCAGUCUCGAAGUUUAUAGAUUUGGUGGUUCGUUUGCAAGUACGUGAACAACAAGUUAAGCAAUAAGUACAAGGCGGCGAGGAGAGUUGCAAAUCGAUGACCAGCACUUCACAUUACAAAAUUUUCAUUCUUUUUUUUCCUGGCUCAUGUUCGUAUUUUGUUUCGGAGACAAAGAAUAAUCGAGUUUUGAUUGGGACCCUGUUGUGGGAGAAACGGCUAUAUUUGAAGGGUACAAAAACUAUUUUGAGCAGCUAACUACACUUUUUUUUAUAACAGCAGCUAACUACACUUGGAAUGAGUAGUUGCUUCUGCUUGAGGACGCCAUGGACAAGUUGCUCUGGCCCUGGCGCCGCAGCCAUGGAUAUACAUGUCUAAUUGUUGCUCUUAUGUAAUUUGGUUGCUUUUGAGUAGUUGGUCUCAAAGAAUUUCAUGGUUGCCUGGAUGUUGUAUUAGUUAAGCUAUUUCUAGAUCUGCCACAGGCUGAGUAUUAUAACUGUGAUUUGGUCGUAUUGGUAGCCUCCCGAGCUAAACUUUUGUAGGUUUUCUUAGCUUGUUUCUGUGAAUAGGAUUUGGUUUAGUUCUCAAUUGUACUUUGUUGUUAAUGGUUGUUCGGAUGGGUGUGGCCUCUUUGAAGUCGUGGUUAUGUUUUCAUUUGCACUAGGCUGGUCGUGUUGGUAGCCUCGCGUCGUAGUCUUGAUUUGAUACGUCCAAUUAUGAUUUAGACUUUAUUUUGCACAUCUUAUUUCUUAUACUUCAUAAGUUGACAAAGCUGCUCACAUAAGGUCAUUUUCUUUUCAUGGUUUCUCAGUUUGUAUAGUUUACUUGAAUGUUGAUAUGCUUCUCUGCAGAAUGCUUUUGUAGUUUCCUGUUCAUGGGGUACUCUUCAUUAGUGAGUUAUUUUUUCUUUGAAUGGUUAAGCAAUCCACGAUUCACUAUGAAUGAAGUGGGAGGUCUAAGGUAGUGCUUCACUCUUAUGUUAUUCUGUGUUCACUGUGUGUUCUGUGUGAUGCUUAACAAUACUUAUGUUCUGCAGGGAACAACUAAGGUUAUAUUGCAAGGUGUGAUGAUGCCCGCCUUUUGGAGAAUGUUCAACUUUUAUAGACCUAUUAGCUUGCUAUGCUUGACGACUAAACGCUUGCUGCUGCACUUCUGUUAUUUAUAUUCUUUUUUGAACAACUAGCGCUCGUCUGUGUUGUGUAUGAGUGAACACUGCAACGAUCUAUUUCAGUUAAGUGCACUUGUUUUUAACAUAUGGUGCUCAUCUGGGCUGCAAAAGCACAUGCAUACG